CAUCCUUACUUUGUUACUGAUCUUAAUGAGAAAGCAUGAGUUCCUUAUGUAUUACGGUAGCUCUAGGCUUUUUGUGUAUCUUCUUUUGAGUUGAAUCUGAGUUUUUCACCUAUAUCAUCAUCUUCCUCUCUAAAGUACUAGUUGAUUCCAUGGUUUCUGCUUAUGAGUUCUACUGUGCUGCCAGAAUCAUCAAAAGGAGUCAAGUCACUUCUGGUACACACGGGGGUAUUUUGGGCUUCCUGGAAAGCUGAGCAUGAAGAAAAUUUAAGAACUAUUACUUUCCUGGGAGUUUUGACCUCAGGCAAUGCAACUAAAGCAGGAAGGUCCAGAGUGGAGUGAGAAGAUGAUGAGUUUUUGGUGAAGAUACUACUUCAUAAGCUAUAAAGAGACAAAACAAUUUACUAGCCUUUCAGGAAAUCUUGGACAGGUGGUACAUAAACCAUAUUUCAGAACAAAUAACAA
Canis lupus familiaris (dog) is the source of this 462-nucleotide long non-coding RNA. RefSeq lists it as uncharacterized. The transcript has 4 exons. NCBI's taxonomy places the organism in Eukaryota, Metazoa, Chordata, Mammalia, Carnivora, Canidae. The record is from RefSeq and is a predicted model, not a curated record.